This 484-nucleotide ribosomal RNA is filed under the name uncultured bacterium. RNAcentral's name for it is "partial 16S ribosomal RNA". It matches the Rfam family "Bacterial small subunit ribosomal RNA", at positions 28 to 507 of the family's 1533-position model. The record is from RNAcentral.
AUUGAACGCUGGCGGCAUGCUUUACACAUGCAAGUCGAACGGCAGCGCGGGCUUCGCCCUGGCGGCGAGUGGCGAACGGGUGAGUAAUGCAUCGGAACGUGCCCAGUAGUGGGGGAUAGCCCGGCGAAAGCCGGGUUAAUACCGCAUACGACCUGAGGGUGAAAGCGGGGGACCGAAAGGCCUCGCGCUAUUGGAUCGGCCGAUGUCGGAUUAGCUAGUUGGUGGGGUAAAGGCUUACCAAGGCGACGAUCCGUAGCUGGUCUGAGAGGACGACCAGCCACACUGGGACUGAGACACGGCCCAGACUCCUACGGGAGGCAGCAGUGGGGAAUUUUGGACAAUGGGGGCAACCCUGAUCCAGCCAUGCCGCGUGCGGGAAGAAGGCCUUCGGGUUGUAAACCGCUUUUGUUCGGGAAGAAAUCCUCUGGGCUAAUACCCCGGGGGGAUGACGGUACCGGAAGAAUAAGCACCGGCUAACUACGUG